UUUCACUUCCUCUUAUCUCUAACUUUGUCUCAUUUUCAUCACCGUCAUGUCGUUCUCGCGUGUCGUGUAGGCUUGGCAGUGGUCAGAUCAUCUGUGAAGGGGCAUUUUAUUCACGACUGUUGGCUCACGUUCGGCUGGAUCUUCAGGCCCUCGGGUUCACAGUGGACACUGUAACGCUGACCGAUGUGAAGCACGCAGUCUGAAGACGUCUCAAUGAACAGCAGAACCUGGCCUGCUUCUGGGAUUUUAAAGGACUUUUUAACAAAAUUCCAGAUAAGGCCAAAGGCAGAGAGGUGGGAGACGUUCACAAUCACAUGCGUGUCGGUGAUCCUCAUCGGUUUCAAGAUGCUUAUCCCAUCAUCAAAGACGUGCGCGACAGACAGCAGGCCAUCAACACACAACGCUGUGAAGGCAAAGAGCUGCUGCACUAUUUCCUGCUCGGGGAUUCAUCCUGCACCAUUUACUUUUCAACACUUCAGUGUGGCAGGUGGAGCUGACGGACUGCGUCCUCAGAGCACGUGAUGUUAAACAGCGGCCCUGCAGCUGUUUUUCCAGCUUGUUGAAGGAGGCUCUCAUCCCAUUGGACAUUCCAGUACAGCAGCUCCGCCUUCUGAGCCAUAACAAACACCAGUCUGGUCAGAGUACACUGGAACACACCUGGACCAGGACACCUGAACCUGUAGAAGAUGAAACGGUUAAACUAGAAUCUAAAAGAAAGAAACCAACGAGAACAUCUGAAGCUUCUGUUUGAGUCCAAACUGUCACAUCCACCAAAGUGAGGGGAUGCUACAUCUGUAACUCUGCUGCUUUGGCUCUAAAGCCAAAGCAGGUUAUUAAUUCUACUUGUGGUUUGGGAUAUCUCAGGGUUUGAGUCACAUGUCACAUAAUUAGAACACGGUUGUGGUUAGUCAUCCCGGAGGCUUCAGCCUCUUUCUGGACUGAUAGUAACCUGCCAUCGCUGUAUUUGAGUUUUAUAUUAUCAGAACACCUCAAAUCACACAGAACCCAGAUGAACCCUGUCAUCUCUAACACAGCCAGGCAUCUGUGGAGGCAGCUGUUACUGGAGCUGGAGGGCCAAGUGAAGGUCCUGCCUGAAGUCUGACAUCAUCUCUGUCUGUCACUGAGAAACUGACGCUCCAGAUGAUCUUUCAGUGGAAAUGAUGUCUGAGUGAGAUGGACAAAGGAAAACACAGAGGGAGAGAAAAGCAAAGUACACAACGUCUCAUAUAUUAGACAUCGAUGGAGAGGAGGAGGUAAUUUACUAUGUCACACCUCCAGGUGUCUAAUACAAAUCAGGUCACAUCAGAGCAUGUGUGACAUCAUUCUAAUGUGGAGGUGAAAGCAGUGACAGCUGUGGUUUUAUUAUCACCUGUGGGAGAUUUGUGUGGAUUCAGGUUGUACUUCAGGUGUGAAGCUUGAUGGAGGCUGGAAAUCAGAACAACACCAGCUGUUUAAAGCAGCAACAAACCAGUAAGUGAAGAAACUACACAACGUACACAUCAGCAGUUAUAUGUACGUACUUUCAAAACUGGCAGUAAAAUAGUGGGACUAAAAACAAUGAAAACAUGGAGCCAUGCAGGAUAAAGCUUAAAGCAUCCUGAUAACGUACAAUUAAUCAGUGUUGCAGUGCAGGUAAAUUCAACACGUGGAGUUAGUUUCUGUCCUGAAGCCUCCUUCUUUGUUCCAUCAGACAAAGUUUAGACUACUACCAUGAAAAAGUGCCGAGAUUAACAGUCAUUACAUGUGUAAAUGAUAAGGAUCCGCUUGCUUUUGUCUCACCUCAAUUGGCUCUAUGUCAUCCUCAGAU
Molecule: long non-coding RNA, 1807 nt
Organism: Haplochromis burtoni (Burton's mouthbrooder)
Lineage: Eukaryota; Metazoa; Chordata; Actinopteri; Cichliformes; Cichlidae
Exons: 5
Source: RefSeq, a predicted model, not a curated record